This 374-nucleotide ribosomal RNA is filed under the name uncultured organism. RNAcentral describes it as "partial 16S ribosomal RNA". It matches the Rfam family "Bacterial small subunit ribosomal RNA", at positions 527 to 896 of the family's 1533-position model. The record is from RNAcentral.
GUAGGUGGCAAGCGUUGUCCGGAAUUAUUGGGCGUAAAGCGCGCGCAGGCGGUUCUUUAAGUCUGAUGUGAAAGCCCACGGCUCAACCGUGGAGGGUCAUUGGAAACUGGAGAACUUGAGUACAGAAGAGGAAAGCGGAAUUCCACGUGUAGCGGUGAAAUGCGUAGAGAUGUGGAGGAACACCAGUGGCGAAGGCGGCUUUCUGGUCUGUAACUGACGCUGAGGCGCGAAAGCGUGGGGAGCAAACAGGGGGUUAGAUACCCUGGUAGUCCACGCCGUAAACGAUGAGUGCUAAGUGUUAGGGGGGUUUCCCGCCCCUUAGUGCUGCAGCUAACGCAUUAAGCACUCCGCCUGGGGAUACGGCCGCAAGGCUG